This is a long non-coding RNA of Pelmatolapia mariae (spotted tilapia), 646 nucleotides long. RefSeq lists it as uncharacterized. Lineage: Eukaryota; Metazoa; Chordata; Actinopteri; Cichliformes; Cichlidae. The record is from RefSeq and is a predicted model, not a curated record. The transcript is spliced from 3 exons.
UUCAUCAACAUGGAACUGCUUACUUUCCACUCCUUUUAUACCCAGCACAUGGCACCUCCAUCCCCACCCAACAUACACACACACACUUCACUGCCAACCAACCACUAUACCCAGCCUAAAACACACAUACUCACUCCACUGCCAUCACUGUUCAAUUUCGAAUAUUUUUGGAAACGAAUAUAUAGCGUUUUGGAAAAGAGCUUUUUAAAUUUUAAUGAUCUUCUUUGGCUUAAUUUUUCCAGAUUCCUGCUUGCCCAGUAACUCUGAUUGACUUCUCUUCAGCAAAGUCAAAAAAACGAAAGCUUGAGUGUUCCAUUGAUGGCUGCACAAGUACACAAAAGUUAUGGAUGCAAACAUGAAGCACAAGCCAGAGGAGCAUAUGAGAAGCUUAUGAGCCAGGAGCAUGCAGGCUUCUCAUGUAUGGACAGCGGUCUCUGGCUGAACCCCAAGUGGCCAUACAUGGGGUCCUCCCCUGAUGGGAUAGUCACUUGUGACUGUCAUGGAACUGGCAUCUGCGAGAUUAAGUGCCCACACUCUCAGAAAGAUGCGGUCAACCUGCGCAUGCGUGCUGGGGAGAAGGGCUUCUGCCUCAUCAGUGACGGGGAUAAUGUCACACUGGACCCAACUCAUGACUACUAUUACCAAA